This 1345-nucleotide ribosomal RNA is filed under the name uncultured bacterium. RNAcentral describes it as "partial 16S ribosomal RNA". It matches the Rfam family "Bacterial small subunit ribosomal RNA", at positions 28 to 1380 of the family's 1533-position model. The record is from RNAcentral.
GACGAACUUUGGCGGCGUGCUUAACACAUGCAAGUCGAACGGAAAGGCCCUGCUUUUGUGGGGUGCUCGAGUGGCGAACGGGUGAGUAACACGUGAGUAACCUGCCCUUGACUUUGGGAUAACUUCAGGAAACUGGGGCUAAUACCGGAUAGGAGCUCCUGCUGCAUGGUGGGGGUUGGAAAGUUUCGGCGGUUGGGGAUGGACUCGCGGCUUAUCAGCUUGUUGGUGGGGUAGUGGCUUACCAAGGCUUUGACGGGUAGCCGGCCUGAGAGGGUGACCGGCCACAUUGGGACUGAGAUACGGCCCAGACUCCUACGGGAGGCAGCAGUGGGGAAUAUUGCACAAUGGGCGGAAGCCUGAUGCUGCAACGCCGCGUGCGGGAUGACGGCCUUCGGGUUGUAAACCGCUUUCGCCUGUGACGAAGCGUGAGUGACGGUAAUGGGUAAAGAAGCACCGGCUAACUACGUGCCAGCAGCCGCGGUGAUACGUAGGGUGCGAGCGUUGUCCGGAUUUAUUGGGCGUAAAGGGCUCGUAGGUGGUUGAUCGCGUCGGAAGUGUAAUCUUGGGGCUUAACCCUGAGCGUGCUUUCGAUACGGGUUGACUUGAGGAAGGUAGGGGAGAAUGGAAUUCCUGGUGGAGCGGUGGAAUGCGCAGAUAUCAGGAGGAACACCAGUGGCGAAGGCGGUUCUCUGGGCCUUUCCUGACGCUGAGGAGCGAAGGCGUGGGGAGCGAACAGGCUUAGAUACCCUGGUAGUCCACGCUGUAAACGGUGGGUACUAGGUGUGGGGUCCAUUCCACGGGUUCCGUGCCGUAGCUAACGCUUUAAGUACCCCGCCUGGGGAGUACGGCCGCAAGGCUAAAACUCAAAGGAAUUGACGGGGCCCCGCACAAGCGGCGGAGCAUGCGGAUUAAUUCGAUGCAACGCGUAGAACCUUACCUGGGUUUGACAUGGAUCGGGAGUGCUCAGAGAUGGGUGUGCCUCUUUUGGGGUCGGUUCACAGGUGGUGCAUGCCUGUCGUCAGCUCGUGUCGUGAGAUGUUGGGUUAAGUCCCGCAACGAGCGCAACCCUUGUUCACUGUUGCCAGCACGUUAUGGUGGGGACUCAGUGGAGACCGCCGGGGUCAACUCGGAGGAAGGUGGGGAUGACGUCAAGUCAUCAUGCCCCUUAUGUCCAGGGCUUCACGCAUGCUACAAUGGCUGGUACAGAGAGUGGCGAGCCUGUGAGGGUGAGCGAAUCUCGGAAAGCCGGUCUCAGUUCGGAUUGGGGUCUGCAACUCGACCUCAUGAAGUCGGAGUCGCUAGUAAUCGCAAAUCAGCAACGCUGCGGUGAAUACGUUCCCGGGGC